RNAcentral lists this ribosomal RNA (474 nucleotides) under uncultured organism. Its description in RNAcentral is "partial 16S ribosomal RNA". It matches the Rfam family "Bacterial small subunit ribosomal RNA", at positions 333 to 798 of the family's 1533-position model. The record is from RNAcentral.
ACACUCCUACGGGAGGCAGCAGUGGGGAAUUUUGGACAAUGGGCGAAAGCCUGAUCCAGCAAUGCCGCGUGUGUGAAGAAGGCCUUCGGGUUGUAAAGCACUUUUGUCCGGAAAGAAAUCCUUGGCUCUAAUACAGUCGGGGGAUGACGGUACCGGAAGAAUAAGCACCGGCUAACUACGUGCCAGCAGCCGCGGUAAUACGUAGGGUGCGAGCGUUAAUCGGAAUUACUGGGCGUAAAGCGUGCGCAGGCGGUUUGCUAAGACCGAUGUGAAAUCCCCGGGCUCAACCUGGGAACUGCAUUGGUGACUGGCAGGCUAGAGUAUGGCAGAGGGGGGUAGAAUUCCACGUGUAGCAGUGAAAUGCGUAGAGAUGUGGAGGAAUACCGAUGGCGACGGCAGCCCCCUGGGCCAAUACUGACGCUCAUGCACGAAAGCGUGGGGAGCAAACAGGAUUAGAAACCCGAGUAGUCCCAU